CAUUAUUUCCAUCCCCUGAAUAUCUUUUAGACCUUUAAACAGUGUAUUAAUGUUCUUCCUCAAUUUUGUGAUAAGACCAGGAUUUUCUUCCAAUAUAUCAAAAGCUUUGACUGCGGCACUUGCCAGAUAAGGAGGCAAAGAAGCAGAAAACACAUAGCCAGAGCUACUGAGACGCUGGUGUUCAAUGACUCUUGUACUCCCGGUGCAAAAUCCUCCUUCUGUGGCCAAUGCAUGCCCCAUGGCAGCCGUAAUGAUAUCUAUCUUGUCAACCGGCACAUUGUAAUACUCUGUUAGACCUUUACCAGAACUGCCAAGCACACCCAAGGAAUUGCUUUCAUCCAACAAUACCCGGAAUCUGUAUUUUUCUUUCAGUUUGAUGAUUUCAUCCAAUGGAGCUAUUUGACCAGAAUUCUGAUAUAGUGCUUCAACAAUAAUAUAUCGCCUAAGUUUUUUAGCUUGCUUGUUUUCUUGAGUGAUUUUCUCCAAUGUAUUUCUCAAGGACUCCAUAUCAUUGUGCUUGAAGUAUAUGAUUGUACUUCUAGAGAGCUGAAGUCCAUUUUGUAUUCCCCAAUGGACACCUUCAUCCGCAACAAUGACAUCUCCCUUCUUGCAAAAUGCUGGAAUUGCACUGAACAUGGUAGAAAGUCCAUAAGAGUAGAGUAUAGAAUCGGGAGUUCCAAGAAACUUAGCUAUCCUGGCCUCACAAUCAAGGUGAACAUCAAUUGUUCCAUAGAAUCCACGAGGACCACAAG
Molecule: unclassified non-coding RNA, 752 nt
Filed under: Hevea brasiliensis (rubber tree)
Lineage: Eukaryota; Viridiplantae; Streptophyta; Magnoliopsida; Malpighiales; Euphorbiaceae
Source: RNAcentral